AGUUCUGUUGAAAGUUCAAGGACUCAGAAAACUAGGUCUUUCACCUCCAAAUUUCCUUACUUUGAGUGUCUCAUGACCAAGUCCUGUGUGGAGAAAUCUUUUCUCCUGACCAUUCCCAAAGCCUUCUCUCACUCACACUUUCCCCCAGCAAAGCUGAAGGUUGUCCUCAGGAACUCAGCAGGGAAAACUUGGGAAGUGAACUGCAUCUACCAUGCAAAAAGACAUUCCUUGUCUGGAGGGUGGAGUACCUUUGUACGUGAAAACAGUCUCAAGCAAGGUGGCACCUGCCGAUUUGAGCUUGUUGAAAAAAAUGUAAUGCAGGUCCAUGUUUUAUGAUUGAGCAAGAAGUGAAGCAUAUAUGCAGUAUUGAAAGCUCUGAUGAUGAUCCCCUCUCAUGUUUCUCAGUUAUGUCAUUUUUGGGUUUGUGAAAUUGUGGCUUUUCACCUUUACAAUGACUUCAUCCACAAUGGCCAGAUGAUCUUUGUUAAUGGGCCACUGAAAGAAAUUCAGUCUUGCAACAUGAUGUUGUAUGGGAUGAA
Long non-coding RNA from Vitis riparia (riverbank grape), 539 nucleotides. RefSeq lists it as uncharacterized. NCBI's taxonomy places the organism in Eukaryota, Viridiplantae, Streptophyta, Magnoliopsida, Vitales, Vitaceae. The transcript has 2 exons. The record is from RefSeq and is a predicted model, not a curated record.